AGGUGCGAUCGUACCAGCACUAAUGCACAAGAUCCCAUAAGAACUCCGUUGUUUAGCGUGUUUGGGCAAGAGUAGUACUAGGAUGCGUGACCUCUUGGGAAGUCCUCGUGUUGCACCUC
RNAcentral lists this ribosomal RNA (119 nucleotides) under Cajanus cajan (pigeon pea). The record is from RNAcentral. Lineage: Eukaryota; Viridiplantae; Streptophyta; Magnoliopsida; Fabales; Fabaceae.